RNAcentral lists this ribosomal RNA (433 nucleotides) under uncultured bacterium. RNAcentral describes it as "partial 16S ribosomal RNA". It matches the Rfam family "Bacterial small subunit ribosomal RNA", at positions 34 to 507 of the family's 1533-position model. The record is from RNAcentral.
CCCGCCCGCUGGCGGCAUGCCUAACACAUGCAAGUCGAACGAGACCUUCGGGUCUAGUGGCGCACGGGUGCGUAACGCGUGGGAACCUGCCCUUAGGUUCGGAAUAACUCCCCGAAAGGGGUGCUAAUACCGGAUAAUGUCUUCGGACCAAAGAUUUAUCGCCUUUGGAUGGGCCCGCGUUGGAUUAGCUAGUUGGUAGGGUAAAAGCCUACCAAGGCGACGAUCCAUAGCUGGUCUGAGAGGAUGAUCAGCCACACUGGGACUGAGACACGGCCCAGACUCGUACGGGAGGCAGCAGUGGGGAAUAUUGGACAAUGGGCGAAAGCCUGAUACAGCAAUGCCGCGUGAGUGAUGAAGGCCUUAGGGUUGUAAAGCUCUUUUACCCGGGAUGAUAAUGACAGUACCGGGAGAAUAAGCUCCGGCUAACUCCGUG